Molecule: ribosomal RNA, 367 nt
Filed under: uncultured organism
Description: bacterial LSU rRNA
Rfam family: Bacterial large subunit ribosomal RNA
Source: RNAcentral
CUUUACUGUAGCUUUGUAUUGGACUUUGAACAGAUCUGUGUAGGAUAGGUGGGAGGCUUUGAAGCCCGGUCGCUGGAUCGGGUGGAGCCAACGUUGAAAUACCACCCUGGUGUGUUUGAGGUUCUAACCUAGGUCCAUCAUCUGGAUCGGGGACAGUGCAUGGUAGGCAGUUUGACUGGGGCGGUCUCCUCCCAAAGCGUAACGGAGGAGUUCGAAGGUACGCUAGGUACGGUCGGACAUCGUGCUAAUAGUGCAAUGGCAUAAGCGUGCUUAACUGCGAGACUUACAAGUCGAGCAGAUGCGAAAGCAGGACAUAGUGAUCCGGUGGUUCUGUAUGGAAGGGCCAUCGCUCAACGGAUAAAAGGUA